UUCGUGUGAACAGUGGUUGAUCACGAGUUAGUCGGUCCUAAGUUCAAGGCGAAAGCCGAAAAUUUUCAAGUAAAGAAAAAUCAAAUAUAUAUGCCAAUUAACAGAUUUUUAUACACUUGAAUAAUUUUGAACGAAAGGGAAUACGGUUCCAAUUCCGUAACCUGUUGAGUAUCCGUUUGUUAUUAAAUAUGGGCCUCGUGCUCAUCCUGGCAACAGGAACGACCAUAAAGAAGCCGUCGAGAGGUAUCGGAAGAGUUUUCUUUUCUGUUUUAUAGCCGUACUACCAUGGAAGUCUUUCGCAGAGAGAUAUGGUAGAUGGGCUAGAAGAGCAUGACAUAUACUGUUGUGUCGAUAUUUUCUCCUCGGACCUUGAAAAUUUAUGGUGGGGAUACGCAAACUUCUCAACAGGCCGUACCAAUAUCCGCAGCUGGUCUCCAAGGUGAAGAGUCUCUAGUCGAUAGAAUA
This 465-nucleotide ribosomal RNA is filed under the name Mycodrosophila erecta. RNAcentral's name for it is "partial 28S ribosomal RNA". It matches the Rfam family "Eukaryotic large subunit ribosomal RNA", at positions 1508 to 1897 of the family's 3401-position model. Lineage: Eukaryota; Metazoa; Arthropoda; Insecta; Diptera; Drosophilidae. The record is from RNAcentral.